UACGUAGGGGGCAAGCGUUGUCCGGAUUUAUUGGGCGUAAAGAGCGUGUAGGCGGCCACACAGGUCUGCUGUGAAAACUCGAGGCUCAACCUCGAGCUGUCGGUGGAAACCGUGUGGCUAGAGUCCGGAAGAGGACGAGUGGAAUCCUGGUGUAGCGGUGAAUGCGCAGAUAUCAGGAAGAACACCAACGGCGAAGGCAGCUCGCUAGGACGGUACUGACGCUGAGACGCGAAAGCGUGGGGAGCGAACAGG
Molecule: ribosomal RNA, 252 nt
Filed under: uncultured bacterium
Lineage: Bacteria
Description: partial 16S ribosomal RNA
Rfam family: Bacterial small subunit ribosomal RNA
Source: RNAcentral